UACAGAGGUGGCAAGCGUUGUUCGGAAUUACUGGGCGUAAAGGGCGAGUAGGUGGCCAUCUAAGUCAGACGUGAAAUCCCCCGGCUUAACCUGGGAACUGCGUCUGAUACUGGACGGCUAGAGUAUGGGAGAGGGAUGUAGAAUUCCAGGUGUAGCGGUGAAAUGCGAAGAUAUCUGGAGGAAUACCGGUGGCGAAGGCGGCAUCCUGGACCAUUACUGACACUGAAACGCGAAAGCUAGGGGAGCAAACGGG
Molecule: ribosomal RNA, 253 nt
Filed under: uncultured bacterium
Lineage: Bacteria
Description: partial 16S ribosomal RNA
Rfam family: Bacterial small subunit ribosomal RNA
Source: RNAcentral